GUAGUCUCGCACAGAUGCAUAUCAAUAAGCGGAGGAAAAGAAACUAACAAGGAUUCCCUUAGUAACGGCGAGUGAAGCGGGAAGAGCUCAAAUUUGAAAUCUUCAAGGUUUUACCUUGACGAAUUGUAGUUUAAAGAAGUGUUUUCUGUUGAAGUUUUGGUAAAAGUUCUUUGGAAUAGGACAUCAUAGAGGGUGAGAAUCCCGUAUUUGACCAUUAUUUUCAGCUGUGUGAUACACUUUCAAAGAGUCGGAUUGUUUGGGAAUGCAGUCCAAAAUGGGUGGUAAAUUUCAUCUAAAGCUAAAUAUUGGCGAGAGACCGAUAGCGAACAAGUACCGUGAGGGAAAGAUGAAAAGAACUUUGAAAAGAGAGUUAAACAGUACGUGAAAUUGUCAAAAGGGAAGCGUUUGACACCAGUGUUGUUUUCUCCGAAAAUCAAUUAAAAAGAGUUUGAUUUUGUUGUGUAUUGACCUUAACAGCUUGCAUUUCAAUUUUCUUGCUUUUUUAAUGCACUUUUCGUUUAACAAGUCAACAUCAGUUUCUUUUGUUGUAAAAAGGUCAUUGGAAGGUGGCUUUCUUUUCGGAGAAAGUGUUUAUAGCCUUUGACUCCUGCAAUCGGAGAGACUGAGGUCUGCAGUGUAGAUCCUUCGGGGUUAGAUACAUUUGUGCUAAGUUAUAGCUUUUUAUAGACAACUUGUUGACUAUGAUUAGUCUUGUAGCUUACUCGCUUAUGCUAUUUUACCUACGCUUAGGAUGUUGAGCGCAUGUCUCUCUCU
This 774-nucleotide ribosomal RNA is filed under the name uncultured Neocallimastigales. Its description in RNAcentral is "partial large subunit ribosomal RNA". It matches the Rfam family "Eukaryotic large subunit ribosomal RNA", at positions 24 to 616 of the family's 3401-position model. The record is from RNAcentral. Lineage: Eukaryota; Fungi; Neocallimastigomycota; Neocallimastigomycetes; Neocallimastigales.